Long non-coding RNA from Cryptomeria japonica (Japanese cedar), 892 nucleotides. RefSeq lists it as uncharacterized. The record is from RefSeq and is a predicted model, not a curated record. Lineage: Eukaryota; Viridiplantae; Streptophyta; Pinopsida; Cupressales; Cupressaceae. The transcript has 2 exons.
UCACUUUUAUUCUUCAACUAAUUUGUUCUUUUGUUCGAAAUGGCAGUGGGAGGAGAUGCCGCAAACUUGUUUCACAAAGUUUGAUGGAAAAUUGGUUUUAUGCCUUUACUAGAGUGGGUGGAAUUGGAAAGAUGGAUGACUGGUAUUUCAGAUUGAGCUCUGGCUAUCAUUCUUCUUCGCCAAGACUUAAGGACUCUCCAACCAGAAACGUACUCUCUUGGGACAACGACAAGGAAAAGAUGAAAGGCAUUAUGCACCAUUAGAAGUUCGGUGGUAGAAAUAGUUAUUGGAGAAGUUAGGUUAUGAGUGCAUUCUUUUAUUUAUGCAUUGGCAACCGCAAAGGAAUGAGUUGUUUGCUCAGCUCCAUGACCAAUCUUCAAGGAGAUAAUUGUAUCAUGUUGACGUGUUUAGCGGCGGGAGACUUCAUCAUGAUCGCCACCCACGAUCACCACCCAUGCAUUUGUCGCCACCUUGUCUUAUUUAUCAUUUGGGCCGACUUAAUUAAGGGACGCAUCCCUCUACAUGGUAUGGUCGCCUCUCUCUAUGUCGUCCCUCUUGUGAAAAGGGACGACCCUUGAUAAGAGUCACUACUAGCAUAUAUAUAUGAAGAUCGAAGACUUCAUUAAGAUACGACCCUUAUAAGAGUCACUACUAGCAUAUAUAUGAAGAUCGAAGACUUCAUUAAGAUAAUAAUUCACAAAGCACAGUUUGCCUCAUUUAUUUCAUACUUCAACAGUUAAGAUUUUCAUAUAGCAGUUCGACAAUUAUAUCAAGGAGAUCGAUUUAUAUUGGUACAAUUAAUUUGGCCCUGUGAGUGGCCUCAUAAUUGGCUUUGUGUUAGUCAUAUUGUAAUUGAUUUAUUUCAUCAUAUAAAAGAUAUUAUUGUUGGGUU